AGCUAUAAAGGAAAAAUGCAAAUACCUUGGCCUAUGAUGGUAUGGUGUAAUAGAAUGUAAUAUAAUCAAAUUUUCUAUUGAAAAUUUGAUAGAAUAUUUAAUUACAUACAUUCCAUUACACCCUAUCAAACAUAGCAUUAGAUCUUUAGAAAUCAGAAGUUAAAUUUUCAUUAAUAGUUUUCAUAACAAGAGAAAGAUAUCUUUGAAUAAUUUCUAUUCAUGGCAUUACAAAAAAAUCCGAGAAAAGCCAAAAUUUUCACAAAUACGAAAAGGAACAGUAUUGAAAUGUCAAUCCAAGUAGACAAAAUUCAGAGCAGUAUUAUGAAAAUAAUCUAAUUAUAAAAUAAUCCAACAAACCAUUUCCAUCAUUGACAACAGGCAAAACAAUAAAGAAAACCAAAUAAUAAGUUUAAAAUUCAAAUAAAAAGCUAGUAAUAAACAAAAAGAUGUAAUUUCACUCAUUAAAAUUAAGAGUAGAGCCACAAGAUUACUAAAAUUUCCAUCUGGGGAAGAGUCAACUAACUAUUCUCAUCACAUUAAUACACAACUAUAAUCCACCAAUUGAUUAUAUAGUUCUGUUGCUCCAUAGUUAAAUAUAACAUUAUGGAAAACAUAACGACCAGCAUUUCCCAACUUCUUGUUAGCAAAGUUAUUAAAGACUCAAGGAGCACUAAGGCGCCUAAG
RNAcentral lists this unclassified non-coding RNA (684 nucleotides) under Hevea brasiliensis (rubber tree). The record is from RNAcentral. Lineage: Eukaryota; Viridiplantae; Streptophyta; Magnoliopsida; Malpighiales; Euphorbiaceae.